RNAcentral lists this ribosomal RNA (492 nucleotides) under uncultured bacterium. Its description in RNAcentral is "partial 16S ribosomal RNA". It matches the Rfam family "Bacterial small subunit ribosomal RNA", at positions 29 to 507 of the family's 1533-position model. The record is from RNAcentral.
AGUGAACGCUGGCGGUAGGCCUAACACAUGCCAGUCGAACGGCAGCACAGUAAGAGCUUGCUCUUACGGUUGGCGAGUGGCGGACGGGUGAGGAAUAGAUCGGAAUCUACUUUUUCGGGGGGGAUUACGUAGGGAAACUUACGCUAAUACCGAAUACUACCUACGGGUGAAAGCAGAGGAUCUUCAGACCUUUCGCGAUAGAAUGAGCCGAUGUCGGAUUAGCUAGUUGGCGGGGUAAAGGCCCACCAAGGCGACGAUCCGUAGCUGGUCUGAGAGGAUGAUCAGCCACACUGGAACUGAGACACGGUCCAGACUCCUACGGGAGGCAGCAGUGGGGAAUAUUGGACAAUGGGCGAAAGCCUGAUCCAGCCAUACCGCGUGGGUGAAGAAGGUCUUCGGGUUGUAAAGCCCUUUUGUUGGGAAAGAAAAGAAGCAGGUUAAUACCCCGCUGUUCUGACGGUACCCAAAGAAUAAGCACCGGCUAACUUCGUG